This 142-nucleotide non-coding RNA is filed under the name Rubrivivax sp. RNAcentral describes it as "Glycine sequence". It matches the Rfam family "Glycine riboswitch aptamer". Rfam says of the family: This family represents the bacterial glycine riboswitch. Glycine riboswitches usually consist of two metabolite-binding aptamers domains with similar structures in tandem. Lineage: Bacteria; Pseudomonadati; Pseudomonadota; Betaproteobacteria; Burkholderiales; Sphaerotilaceae. The record is from RNAcentral.
AAAUACCUCACUGGAGAGAGACAGCCUCGACCGAGCGCGGCCUGGGCGGGUCCACCGAAGGGGCAAGGGCGGGUGGUUGCGGCCAAGCGGCCGCAACGCACAGGCACCGAAUCUCUCAGGUAAAGCGGACAGGGAGGACCGU